Carassius carassius (crucian carp) is the source of this 338-nucleotide long non-coding RNA. RefSeq lists it as uncharacterized. The transcript has 3 exons. The record is from RefSeq and is a predicted model, not a curated record. Lineage: Eukaryota; Metazoa; Chordata; Actinopteri; Cypriniformes; Cyprinidae.
GCAUUUACCAGCUGCGCACAUCCACCGUUGGAAGGAGAGGCAAGAAACAAGGAGUGGCUGGAACCAGGAUCACCAGCAGCCACUAAACUGGAGAGUGUAGCUGCCAGGAAAGCACUGGUAAAGGAUAUUCGACAAUUGUCACCUCAGCAUCAGACAUUCUCCCUGGAGGCCUACCAUUCCCUUAUUCUGCACUUUGCUCCCAAACACACUGGCUUUUCUUUUCUUGGGAUGUACAGCAGACUUCUCUUGGCAGCCCUACAUUUCAAUAGUAAUGGCAACAGAGAUGUAGCGCGUACUAGUGAGGGUGAGGUACGCUACGCUGUUCGCUACCCACGGUU